This 402-nucleotide ribosomal RNA is filed under the name uncultured bacterium. RNAcentral's name for it is "bacterial SSU rRNA". It matches the Rfam family "Bacterial small subunit ribosomal RNA", at positions 355 to 774 of the family's 1533-position model. The record is from RNAcentral.
UGGGGAAUAUUGGACAAUGGGCGCAAGCCUGAUCCAGCCAUGCCGCGUGAGUGAUGAAGGCCCUAGGGUUGUAAAGCUCUUUCACCGGUGAAGAUAAUGACGGUAACCGGAGAAGAAGCCCCGGCCAACUUCGUGCCAGCAGCCGCGGUAAUACGAAGGGGGCUAGCGUUGUUCGGAAUUACUGGGCGUAAAGCGCACGUAGGCGGAUCGAUCGGUUAGGGGUGAAAUCCCGGGGCUCAACCCCGGAACUGCCUCUAAUACUGUCGAUCUGGAGUUCGAGAGAGGUGAGUGGAAUUCCGAGUGUAGAGGUGAAAUUCGUAGAUAUUCGGAGGAACACCAGUGGCGAAGGCGGCUCACUGGCUCGAUACUGACGCUGAGGUGCGAAAGCGUGGGGAGCAAACA